UUCCAGUGUUGCUGCUUGGAUGUGUAACUCUGGGAAAGUUACUUAUCCUCUUUCUGCCUCAGUUUCCUCAUCUGUAAAUUGGAGAUAGUAAUACCUACCUCGGAAGGUGGAUGUGAGGAUUU
This is a small nucleolar RNA of Cercocebus atys (sooty mangabey), 122 nucleotides long. NCBI's taxonomy places the organism in Eukaryota, Metazoa, Chordata, Mammalia, Primates, Cercopithecidae. The record is from Ensembl.